CUUGGAUGUUCAAAGCUCCAGCGCCUGAGGAUGGGUCUGCGGCCUAUCAGGUCGUAGUGGGUGUAACGGACCCACUAGCCAGCGACGGGUACGGGCCUUGAAAGAGGUAGCCCGGAGAUGGACUCUGAGACACGAGUCCAGGCCCUACGGGGCGCAGCAGGAGCGAAAACUUCGCAAUGCGGGAAACCGUGACGAGGGAAUCCCGAGUGCUCAUACAAUGUAUGGGCUUUUAUGAUGUGUAAAAAGCAUUAGGAAUAAGGGCUGGGUAAGACCGGUGCCAGCCGCCGCGGUAAUACCGGCAGCUCUAGUGGUAGCCACUUUUAUUGGGCCUAAAGCGUCCGUAGCCGGUCAGGUAAAUCCUUGGGUAAAUCGUACCGCUUAACGGUGCGGCGGGGGGAGGAGACUGCUUGACUUGGGACCGGGAGAGGUUGGAGGUACUCCUGGGGUAGGGGUGAAAUCCUGUAAUCCUAGGUGGACCACCGGUGGCGAAGGCGUCCAACCAGAACGGCUCCGACGGUGAGGGACGAAGGCUAGGGGGCGCGAACCGGAUUAGAUACCCGGGUAGUCCUAGCUGUAAACGCUGCAGACUUGGGUGUUGGGAGAUCCUACGAGGGUGUCCAGUGCCGGAGAGAAGUUGUUAAGUUUGCCGCCUGGGAAGUAUGGCCGCAAGGCUGAACUUAAAGGAAUUGGCGGGGGAGCACCGCAACGGGAGGAGCGUGCGGUUUAAUUGGAUUCAACGCCGGAAAACUCAACGGGAGCGACGGUUACAUGAAGGCCAGUUUGAAAGACUUUGCCUGAUUUUCCGAGAGGUGGGUGCAUGGCCGUUCGUCAGUUCGUACGCAGGGCGUUCUGUUAAGUCAAAUAACGACGAGACCCUGGUCUUAAUUUGCUAAGUUCCUUUGGGGGGAAGGCACUAUAGGAAAUCGCCACUGCUAAGUGGAAGAAGAGGGCCACCGUUAGUUCACAGUAUGCCUGAAUCUUCCCGGCCAACGACGGC
RNAcentral lists this ribosomal RNA (997 nucleotides) under uncultured archaeon. RNAcentral describes it as "bacterial SSU rRNA". It matches the Rfam family "Archaeal small subunit ribosomal RNA", at positions 179 to 1179 of the family's 1478-position model. The record is from RNAcentral.